This 22-nucleotide microRNA is filed under the name Parasteatoda tepidariorum (common house spider). RNAcentral describes it as "pte-miR-745-3p". Its record names the gene pte-miR-745-3p. Lineage: Eukaryota; Metazoa; Arthropoda; Arachnida; Araneae; Theridiidae. The record is from miRBase by way of RNAcentral.
CAGCUGCCCUGUGAAGGGCUGU